Drosophila melanogaster (fruit fly) is the source of this 476-nucleotide non-coding RNA. The record is from Ensembl. NCBI's taxonomy places the organism in Eukaryota, Metazoa, Arthropoda, Insecta, Diptera, Drosophilidae.
AGCCCUCCCUUUUUUGACCAUGUCCGAGUGGGUUUUAUUAACUUGUUCUAGCUUCAAGAAUGUCACGGUAGAGUGGCCAAAGUGUCAGUGGAUUACACAUUCCGAUAGCCGGCUAUGAUCGUAUCCCCUGUGAAGAAAUGGGCGUAUUGUUGAAAGCACAAAACAAUUAAUGAGACUGCGAUGAUGGGCUUAAUGAACUUUUGCAAAAACCAAACAAUAUUAUGGCCAAGUGGAAAAAAGGGAAAACUUGCAAUUGCCUCCAACUCAGCGGAUCGUUAUCCCUUUCACAUUCGAUUUAGCAUUUAACGAUGCACGAAAUCAGCAGCUCCGGUGCCCAUUUCCACAGCGAUUUCCACUUCCAUCCCGACAAUUUCCACACAAUUUUCAAUUAAUUAAACCAAAAAUAUUCCUGUUGCUUCUGUUGCCGCUCGGCCGGGGCCUUUUACAAUUGACGUAAAAUAUAAUUAAAAUUGUUC